UACGGAGGGAGCUAGCGUUGUUCGGAAUUACUGGGCGUAGAGCGCGCGUAGGCGGCUUUGUAAGUUAGAGGUGAAAGCCCGGGGCUCAACUCCGGAACUGCCUUUAAGACUGCAUCGCUAGAAUCCGGGAGAGGUGAGUGGAAUUCCGAGUGUAGAGGUGAAAUUCGUAGAUAUUCGGAAGAACACCAGUGGCGAAGGCGGCUCACUGGACCGGUAUUGACGCUGAGGUGCGAAAGCGUGGGUAGCGAACAGG
RNAcentral lists this unclassified non-coding RNA (253 nucleotides) under uncultured Sphingomonadaceae bacterium. RNAcentral describes it as "contains 16S-23S intergenic spacer region". It matches the Rfam family "Bacterial small subunit ribosomal RNA", at positions 524 to 776 of the family's 1533-position model. The record is from RNAcentral. Lineage: Bacteria; Pseudomonadati; Pseudomonadota; Alphaproteobacteria; Sphingomonadales; Sphingomonadaceae.